AAAUGCGAUAAGUAAUGUGAAUUGCAGAAUUCAGUGAAUCAUCGAAUCUUUGAACGCACAUUGCGCCCGCCAGUAUUCUGGCGGGCAUGCCUGUUCGAGCGUCAUUUCAACCAUCAAGCCCCCGGCUUGUGUUGGGGACCCGCGGCUGCCCGCAGGCCCUGAAAAACAGUGGCGGGCUCGCUGUCACACCGAGCGUAGUAGCAUACAUUCUCGCUCAGGGCGUGCUGCGGGUUCCGGCCGUUAAACGACCUUCAUAACCCAAGGUUGACCUCGGAUCAGGUAGGAAGACCCGCUGAACUUAAGC
Molecule: unclassified non-coding RNA, 304 nt
Filed under: plant metagenome
Description: partial contains 5.8S ribosomal RNA, internal transcribed spacer 2, and large subunit ribosomal RNA
Rfam family: 5.8S ribosomal RNA (bases 1-104)
Source: RNAcentral